This 477-nucleotide ribosomal RNA is filed under the name uncultured bacterium. Its description in RNAcentral is "bacterial SSU rRNA". It matches the Rfam family "Bacterial small subunit ribosomal RNA", at positions 365 to 832 of the family's 1533-position model. The record is from RNAcentral.
UUCGCAAUGCCCGAAAGGGUGACGAAGCGACGCCGCGUGGGUGAGGAAGGCCCUCGGGUUGUAAAGCCCUGUCAGGAGUUAAGAAAUGUAAGUGCGCUAAUAUCGCAUUUAUUUGACGAAGGCUCCAAAGGAAGCCACGGCUAACUCUGUGCCAGCAGCCGCGGUAAUACAGAGGUGGCAAGCGUUGUUCGGAAUUAUUGGGCGUAAAGAGCACGUAGGUGGGUUUGUAAGUCAGAUGUGAAAGCCUUCUGUUCAACGGAAGAAUUGCAUCUGAAACUACAAGUCUUGAGUGUAGGAGGGGAGAAUGGAACUUCUGGUGGAGCGGUGAAAUGCGUAGAUAUCAGAAGGAACGCCGGCGGCGAAAGCGAUUCUCUGGCCUAUUACUGACACUCAGUGUGCGAAAGCUAGGGGAGCAAACGGGAUUAGAUACCCCGGUAGUCCUAGCCGUGAACGAUGGGCACUAAGUAGAGGGGUUUU